Molecule: long non-coding RNA, 1613 nt
Organism: Cannabis sativa
Lineage: Eukaryota; Viridiplantae; Streptophyta; Magnoliopsida; Rosales; Cannabaceae
Exons: 4
Source: RefSeq, a predicted model, not a curated record
GUAUUUGUCUCAGAGCCACCGCUAUUUACAGCUUCGUACUCCUCCAUAUGGCGUAAGUGUUUGGUUGGUAACUUGGGUUGGAAUGUUUUUCAUUUCGCAUAUAGGUUAAGUCAUAAUAUGUGGCUUUGAGUAGUUUUUUAUACCACUGCUGUGUGUUCUAUUGUUAAACAUCACAGUUCUUGUCUUUUAUGUGGUUAAAUAUCAAAGCUCUAGAAGGAGGCUCUUUGUGAAUAUAAAUUUUAAUUCUUACUAUUUUAGAAUAUGCUGAUAUGGAAUAAAAUGCUUAUUGUUUCAUGAUUUUAAUUCUUCAUCUUUAGCAAAAUAGAUAGUUAAGUUUUGUAGAUAAGCUAUAAUAAAUUCCCUUUAUAUGAUUUAGUUUUCCAAAGUUUCUCCCAUGAUCCUUAGCUAUCCUUCCUAUUUUGAAAUCAUAGACAGAACUAGCAUUGUGGAAUUACUAUAGACAAAACUAUGGAUUUGAAUACUUGAAUCCUUACAAUUGUGAAUUUUUCAUUUUAGAUUUGUCAUCUUUGUUAUUUAUCACAUGAUGUUGUGAACAAUUUUAAUCAAACAUUUCAUUUGUCAUGAAUAGAGAUUUAAGAUUUCAGGUCAUUUAUUGUGUAUUAGCUGUGUCAAUUUUAAUAUAUAGUUUCUUUACUAGCUCCCUUUGGCUAUUGCAUUCUGUACCAAAGUUUUUCCCACUUGACAUGCAUCUGCUACUUUUAAAAAAUAGUUCUGUCUCCCAACUCAAAAGUACAUUUGUUUCUUUGUCCACUGUUUGAAUUUUUAGUGAUAAUAGUUUCAAUUUAUAAGUUGAUAUAUACAUCUAUAUAAUUUCCUGCAUCUGCUAAUAAAGCUAAAAUUUUAUUUAACUUCUGCACUUUCCACACCUCUUUCAAGUUCUAAUAUCAAAAUCACAAUCUUGCUCAUCAUGUCACCGGAAAAUUUUUGCAACAUCCAUAUGUUUAUGGGGUGUUAGUGUUUGAAGCCAUGGCGACUUACGUGGGGCAAGUUUCUGUGCUAUCCCUCAUUGCUCUUUUCGGUGCAGCCACCCCUGCUAUAAUAACGACUGCUAGAAAAGCAGUAACUUUAUUGCUUUCAUAUGUGAUAUUUACAAAGCCAAUGACUAACCAACAUGGGGCAGGGCUUCUUCUUAUAUCUAUGGGAAUCAUAGUUAAGAUGGUCCCAGAAAACCAAAUCCCAAGUUGGAGUUCAGUCCUUGGUAUAUGGAUAUGUAUCCUUCAAAUUAAAGAAAGAAGCUGAGGCAGCUCUAAUCUCUGUUCAAGGAAAGUGAUUUCUACUAAAGAACAUGACACAAGAUUGUUGCAAAAAGUGUCAAGAAAGCUAGAAGCUUGGCAUCUUUAGUUUUAGGAGAUACAUGUGUUGUAUCAAUUUCUGUUAGUUUCUUUCACAAUUUUUUUUCAUAUACUACCAUGGUUGUAAGUUUGUAAUUGUACUCUUUAUUACUCUGAAUAAAACUAUAUUUAUUGUUAUAAUUAUUUUCUUAAAUCAUAAGAAAAAGUAUUAUUGUAAAUCAUUGUGAAAGCUAUAGUAAUAAUGAUAUUUUAAUCUUAUGAACAUGAUAACAUAAUACAAAAAAAAAGUGUUAUGUAGUA